GGUGUGAAUUAUGUUUUUUACCAUUUUAGUUAUUUGGGCAUACCGAUUCACCACCAUAAGUUAUCUAAUAAAGAAUGGAAGUGUAUUGAAGAUCGAAUUGAGAAAAAGCUGAGCUGCUGGAAGGGUAAGCUUAUGUCUUAUGGAGGUCGGUUAGUGCUGAUUAAUUCGGUAUUGACUAGUAUGAUGAUGUUCCUAUUAUCGUUCUUCAAAAUUCCGAAAGGGGUACGGAAGCGACUUGAUUUCUUUAGAUCCCGGUUCUUCUGGCAGUCAGACGAGGCCAAGAGGAAAUACCGACUCGCGCGAUGGGAUAUCCUUUGCCGACCAAAAGACCAGGGUAGUCUUGGUAUUGAAAACUUAGAAAUCAUGAAUAAAUGCCUUAUGAGUAAAUGA
This 390-nucleotide ribosomal RNA is filed under the name Triticum aestivum (bread wheat). RNAcentral's name for it is "partial small subunit ribosomal RNA". Lineage: Eukaryota; Viridiplantae; Streptophyta; Magnoliopsida; Poales; Poaceae. The record is from RNAcentral.